AUGGUGGUGCCGAGGGACGCGACGCUGCAGUUCGACUACACGCGGGUGUUCCAGCAGGUGGUACGAGCGGGGCAGUCGGUUAUCAUCGAGGAGUGCGAGGAGGAGCAGGUGGAAUCGCCGCACGCCAAGGACGCGCUCCCGGGAAAGGAAAAGGAGAAGAAACUACCUCAAGUUAAGGUGAGACCCAGGCCUGAAAAGGGGAAAUCGCUCUGGAGUCGGCUCAAGAACAAGGAGAAGAAACUACCUCAAGUUAAGGUGAGACCCAGGCCUGAAAAGGGGAAAUCGCUCUGGAGUUGGCUCAAAAACAAGAUUUUUCGUAGAGAAGGAAGGCAAAUAUGUUCAGAACAUGUGAAGCACCAGAUUUUUCGUAGAGAAGGAAAGCAAAUAGGUUCAGCACAUGUGGAGCACCAGACACGUCCCAUCAAUGAAGUAAGGAAUCGUUAUAUGGUUUCUUCUUACGAGGCGAACCAUCUUGAUGCCUAUUCGGAAAUUAGACUGGUGAUUGGAGAUGGGGAGUGUUUCUACAGGAGCUUCAUAUUUUCCUACCUAGAGCAAGUUAUUGAUAGGCAGGACACAGAUGAGGAGCAUCGUCUCCUUGAUGUUGUUGAAAGAAUGUCUGUGCAACAUGCAAAUCUUGGAUGGAACUCUGAGUUUUCCAGGACCAGCAGAGCAUUUAAGGAGCUGAUUGAGAAAGUAAUGAGAUGGAAGGGCACGGAAUCAACUAGCAGUUGCCGUAAAGAGGAACUUCUCCAGUUCUUCAGCACGUAUGAUGAGACGCAAGACAUUUUUGCUUUCCUCAGAUUACUAGUAGCUAUCCACAUAUGCUCGCACAGUGAGGAUUAUGUACCGAAUAUACCAGAGGUCGACCAAGGAAAUUGCAGUCUGGAAGUUUGGUGCUUCGAGCAGGUCAUUCCAGCUCGUGUGGACGCGGACCAUGUUAUGUUGGUGGCUUUGGCCACAGCGCUUGAGGUCCCCCUCAGAGCGGAAUCAUUCCAACAAGGAUAUGCUCGAGAUAUCUACACUGGUCCUGGAUUUCCCCGUCCGAGUGUGACCCUGCUGUACACGGGAAAUCACUACAACAUCAUCUACCCACGUGCUCCUUCUGCUGAGAGUUCAAGUCAUCAGGCUUCCAAGAGAGAAGAUCCUGCUGAUCAGAGUUCAAGUCAUCAGGCUUCCCAGAGAGAAGAGCCUGCUGGUCAGAGUUGA
RNAcentral lists this ribosomal RNA (1206 nucleotides) under Triticum aestivum (bread wheat). RNAcentral's name for it is "partial small subunit ribosomal RNA". The record is from RNAcentral. Lineage: Eukaryota; Viridiplantae; Streptophyta; Magnoliopsida; Poales; Poaceae.